GACGAACGCUGGCGGCGUGCCUAACACAUGCAAGUAGAACGCACAGUUUAUACCGUAGCUUGCUACACCAUAGACUGUGAGUUGCGAACGGGUGAGUAACGCGUAGGUAACCUGCCUGGUAGCGGGGGAUAACUAUUGGAAACGAUAGCUAAUACCGCAUAAUAUUGAUUAUUGCAUGAUAAUUGAUUGAAAGAUGCUAUUGCAUCACUACCAGAUGGACCUGCGUUGUAUUAGCUAGUAGGUGAGGUAACGGCUCACCUAGGCGACGAUACAUAGCCGACCUGAGAGGGUGAUCGGCCACACUGGGACUGAGACACGGCCCAGACUCCUACGGGAGGCAGCAGUAGGGAAUCUUCGGCAAUGGACGAAAGUCUGACCGAGCAACGCCGCGUGAGUGAAGAAGGUUUUCGGAUCGUAAAGCUCUGUUGUAAGAGAAGAACGGGUGUGAGAGUGGAAAGUUCACACUGUGACGGUAUCUUACCAGAAAGGGACGGCUAACUACGUG
RNAcentral lists this ribosomal RNA (505 nucleotides) under uncultured bacterium. RNAcentral's name for it is "partial 16S ribosomal RNA". It matches the Rfam family "Bacterial small subunit ribosomal RNA", at positions 28 to 507 of the family's 1533-position model. The record is from RNAcentral.